GAAGACUGCCGAGGAACACACGCAUUCGAAUCAUUUAAGCCUUAAAAUAGUAAUACCCAUGGAAGAGCCACAAGACUUACCCGAACAGCCAGUGAAAAAAGCCAAGAUGCAAGAAUCCAGAGAACAAAGCUUAAGUCACGUGAGCAACACCGAGGUCAGCGAUCAGAAACCUGAAUCUUCAAGCCUUGCUCCAAACCUUCCCAUGUCAAGUGAGAGUA
Non-coding RNA from Tinamus guttatus (white-throated tinamou), 218 nucleotides. The record is from RefSeq and is a predicted model, not a curated record. NCBI's taxonomy places the organism in Eukaryota, Metazoa, Chordata, Aves, Tinamiformes, Tinamidae.